UACGUAGGUGGCAAGCGUUGUCCGGAUUUACUGGGCGUAAAGAGCGCGCAGGCGGUCGUUCAAGUCGCGUGUGAAAGCCCCCGGCUCAACUGGGGAGGGUCACGCGAUACUGAUCGACUCGAAGGCAGGAGAGGGUAGUGGAAUUCCCGGUGUAGUGGUGAAAUGCGUAGAUAUCGGGAGGAACACCAGUGGCGAAGGCGGCGACCUGGGUCGAUACUGACGCUGAGGUGCGAAAGCGUGGGGAGCAAACAGG
RNAcentral lists this ribosomal RNA (253 nucleotides) under uncultured bacterium. RNAcentral describes it as "partial 16S ribosomal RNA". It matches the Rfam family "Bacterial small subunit ribosomal RNA", at positions 524 to 776 of the family's 1533-position model. The record is from RNAcentral.